UACGUAGGGGGCAAGCGUUGUCCGGAAUCAUUGGGCGUAAAGCGCGUGUAGGCGGCUAUGCAAGUCGGAUGUGAAAGCCCUCGGCUCAACCGGGGAAGUGCACCCGAAACUGCAAAGCUAGAGUCUCGGAGAGGAUCGUGGAAUUCUCGGUGUAGAGGUGAAAUUCGUAGAUAUCGGGAGGAACACCAGUGGCGAAGGCGGGCAUCUGGGCCAACACUGACGCUGAGGCGCGAAAGCUAGGGGAGCAAACAGG
RNAcentral lists this ribosomal RNA (253 nucleotides) under uncultured bacterium. RNAcentral describes it as "partial 16S ribosomal RNA". It matches the Rfam family "Bacterial small subunit ribosomal RNA", at positions 524 to 776 of the family's 1533-position model. The record is from RNAcentral.